CCAACAACUAAGGUCCCCAAAUUGUGGUUAAGUGGAAAAGGAAGUAGGGAAGCACUGACAGCCAGGAGGUUGGCUUAGAAGCAGCCAUCCUUUAAAGAAAGCGUAAUAGCUCACUGGUCAAGCAGCCCUGCGCCGACAAUAUAACGGGGCUUAAACCACGUACCGAAGUUUCGGAUUGUGGAGGUCUUCGGAUCUCUAUGAUGGUAGGCGAGCAUUCCGUAGCUGUGAAGCGGGACCGAAAGGACCGUUGGAGCGAUCGGAAAAGACUCUGUCGGCAUAAGUAGCGAUAACGCGGGUGAGAACCCCGCGCGCCGUAAACCUAAGGUUUCCUGAGUAAAGUUAAUCUGCUCAGGGUUAGACGGCACCUAAGGCGAGGCCGAAAGGCGUAGUCGAUGGAAAUCCGGUUAAUAUUCCGGAUCCACUAACGUGUGCUGUGGGAGGACGCAGUAGGGUAGGCGAGACGGCCGAUGGACGUGCCGUUGAACUCAUCAUAGCCCGUCACUUUGGAAAAUCCGGGUGACACAAGGGUAAAGGUAGGGACGAAAGUAGGGGUAAAACCCGAAAAAAGUCGUUGACCCCAGCUGCCAGGAAAAUUCUCGUUCAGCUAUACACGCGAUGCGACCGUACCGCAAACCGACACAGGUAGGUGGGGUGAGAAUCCUAAGGCGCUUGUGAGAACUCUCGUUCAGGAACUCGGCAAAAUGUACCCGUAACUUCGGGAGAAGGGUAGCCCACCUCAGACGUGGGUCGCAGAGAAAUGUCCCAGGCGACUGUUUACUAAAAACACAGGUCUCCGCAAAGUCGUGAAGACGACGUAUGGGGGCUGACGCCUGCCCAAUGCUGGAAGGUUAAAAGGAGUGGUCAGCCGUAAGGCGAAGCUACGAAUUGAAGCCCCAGUGAAUGGCGGCCGUAACUAUGAACAGGACACCGCGCACCUCAAGUGAGCGGAAUUGUAGUUCCGAAAACGAAACUUGGCUAAAUGCUGGAACAUCCGGUUAGUAUCCGACGCUACUCGCUUCGAUCAUGAGGCAGUAACAAUGCGUUCGGUGCGGACAAUCAGCAGGAAAGGCUAGCGCAAGCUAGAAUCCUCAGAGACUACACGCCAAGCAUCACGUUCUCGUGAUGAUGAUAUAGUCCGAUCUUCAUGGCGACAUGAAGGACAAGCGAAGAUCUCUCUUCGUGAAUCGCGACUGAAUCCUCAAGAUUCAAAUCGUUAACACAAAUGAACGGUCCUAAGGUAGCGAAAUUCCUUGUCGGGUAAGUUCCGACCUGCACGAAUGGCGUAACGAGUUGGCCGCUGUCUCAACGCGUGGCUCGGUGAAACUGUAGUUCCGGUGAAGAUGCCGGAUACCCGCCGUAAGACGGAAAGACCCCGUGAACCUUUACUGUAGCUUGGCAUGGGAUUUUGGUGCAGCUUGUGCAGGAUAGGUGGGAGGCGCUGAACCUCGCCCGUCAGGGUGGGGGGAGCCAACCUUGAGAUACCACCCUAGCUACGCUGAAAUUCUAACCUACGCUUGUGAUCCAGGUGGGGGACAGUGCCAGGUGGGCAGUUUGACUGGGGCGGUCGCCUCCUAAAAUGUAACGGAGGCGCCCAAAGGUUCCCUCAGCACGGUCGGUAAUCGUGCGACGAGUGCAAAGGCAUAAGGGAGCUUAACUGCGAGACCCACACGUCAAGCAGGUGCGAAAGCAGGGCUUAGUGAUCCGGUGGUCCCGCGUGGAAGGGCCAUCGCUCAACGGAUAAAAGGUACUCCGGGGAUAACAGGCUUAUCGCGUCCAAGAGUCCACAUCGACGACGCGGUUUGGCACCUCGAUGUCGGAUCAUCGGCUGCUGGGGCUGAAGCAGCUCCCAAGGGUUGGGCUAUUCUGCCUGUAAAGGCAUACGUGAGCUGGGUUUAGAACGUCGUGAGACA
This 1910-nucleotide ribosomal RNA is filed under the name groundwater metagenome. RNAcentral's name for it is "bacterial LSU rRNA". It matches the Rfam family "Bacterial large subunit ribosomal RNA", at positions 1032 to 2628 of the family's 2925-position model. The record is from RNAcentral.